This 281-nucleotide long non-coding RNA is filed under the name Lathyrus oleraceus (garden pea). Its description in RNAcentral is "Pisum sativum (pea) long non-coding RNA (PSAT_LNC025459)". The record is from RNAcentral. Lineage: Eukaryota; Viridiplantae; Streptophyta; Magnoliopsida; Fabales; Fabaceae.
CCGGUGUUGAUGCGAACAGAUCUGGACGGUGGACAAUCACAGUGAGGUGUCGCGGUGGUGGUCGUGGCUUGUGAUUGUUGAAAUGUCGUCGGCGAUGAGGGUGCUGAGACGGCAGUGUUUGGGGGUUUGUGUUGAGGGCGGCGUAUGUGGAAGAAGGGUUUAUGGUGAGGAAGAUGUAUGGUUGAGGGAAAAGAGAGAUGUUGAGAGAGGCGUGAGGUCUUUCGUGUGACCGUUGGGGAGUGUGGUGGAUGUGUGUUGCGUGUUUAUGAGUUGUUUUUUUU